Molecule: ribosomal RNA, 189 nt
Filed under: uncultured bacterium
Lineage: Bacteria
Description: partial 16S ribosomal RNA
Rfam family: Bacterial small subunit ribosomal RNA
Source: RNAcentral
CCUACGGGAGGCAGCAGUAAGGAAUAUUGGUCAAUGGGGGCAACCCUGAACCAGCCAUGCCGCGUGCAGGACGACUGCCCUAUGGGUUGUAAACUGCUUUUGUUAGGGAAUAAACCCCACUACGUGUAGUGGGCUGAAUGUACCUAAAGAAUAAGGAUCGGCUAACUCCGUGCCAGCAGCCGCGGUAAU